Molecule: long non-coding RNA, 1219 nt
Organism: Cyprinus carpio (common carp)
Lineage: Eukaryota; Metazoa; Chordata; Actinopteri; Cypriniformes; Cyprinidae
Source: Ensembl
CCCGCGGGUGGAGGAGCGAUAAGCCAUAGGCAUGCGAGGGGAGCGAUAGUAGGGGUCAUUUCUUCCUCCAUUCAUCCUCUUCUCCUCUCUACACUGGCCUUUCAUGCUAAUUACAAGCUUUGACUUUAAUCCCAGGAGAAGCCACGGAUGCCGGUGCAGGGAGGCUGACGGACAGAAUGCUACCUCAUACAUACAUUGGCCGUCCAUGCUUAAAUACUGAGGCUCUCUUUAACCUCUGCUAUGCUACGGGUCAUUGCCCAAUACAGUUAAGGUGUGCCUUAAAUGCGCCGGUGAUGCUUUGUGUUUUUCUGAGUGGUUUAACUCCUGCCGGGCAAAGUUCAGGGAAAGGUCGACCGUACUGUUGAGUCCUGCUUGCCUUGCCCUAAAUGUCGGGUGAGUCAUGGAUAUGGAUUAAUAGCAACACUCUUCAUUUACACCUUUAACACUCCCCCACUAAGAAAACGCUCUUCAUGUGGCUCAAGAGGCAGUCGGCCGAGCGGUGACAGGCUGUGGUCAUACUAUCAGUCAUCGCUGUCAUGUGCCCUCAAUCUGUCUGUGCAGCUGUAACAGUGACUCCUUAAAUAACACGCUGACAUCUACAUGAACAACUCACGCAUUUAAUGAACCUUACACAGUCAACGGUAAACAUUUUUGCAUGCUUUUAAUGCUUUUUUUCUCCUUUCAAAUAGGUUAGAUUUUGCUUUACAUUUAAAAUUAUAUUUGAAUCAUCUUUUGCUGUGCUUUAAAGAGGUACACCUAUUUUGAUGUGUUGACAUACUAAAGCACAUGCGGGUGAGUCAUGGAUAUGGAUUAAUAGCAACACUCUUCAUUUACACCUUUAACACUCCCCCACUAAGAAAACGCUCUUCAUGUGGCUCAAGAGGCAGUCGGCCGAGCGGUGACAGGCUGUGGUCAUACUAUCAGUCAUCGCUGUCAUGUGCCCUCAAUCUGUCUGUGCAGCUGUAACAGUGACUCCUUAAAUAACACGCUGACAUCUACAUGAACAACUCACGCAUUUAAUGAACCUUACACAGUCAACGGUAAACAUUUUUGCAUGCUUUUAAUGCUUUUUUUCUCCUUUCAAAUAGGUUAGAUUUUGCUUUACAUUUAAAAUUAUAUUUGAAUCAUCUUUUGCUGUGCUUUAAAGAGGUACACCUAUUUUGAUGUGUUGACAUACUAAAGCACAUGUUAAAGGGGUCAUAUGACGCGAUUUCAAGUU